AGGGGCUUCAUGGGAUUUGUAGUCUCUCUGGCGGGGCGCUCGGGCGUGCCCAGCGCGGACAGUCCAAGCGACCCCAGCAGAUAAAAGAUGUCUGGGUGGGGUGACCGGGUGGAGUAGGCGGUGCCGCCGGAGCUGGGAAGGGAGGCUCCGUUUCGAACUCUGCUCUCGUCGCGCCGCCGGAAUGGAACUCCGUUGUUUCUUUGUGUGCGGAAUCUGUCUCGCAGUUCCCACAUCUCUUCCGCCGGGACCCUGAGUGGAGAUGCUCGUUUUCCUCGGGGCUGCCGGGACGCAGCCUGCGAUUCUGGGCCGGGCCAGAGCCAAAGUCUACGCCUCCCGGAGAGCAUGGGCCACGCAGGCCGCUCCCUGCGCCCUGCAAAUCCGAGAAGGCUCGUGCCACACAUCUGCGCCCUGCAAAAUUUCGGGCCUCGUGUCCUGAGAAUUUAGAGGAUAAGACUUUGUUUCCGUCUGGGCUCCGUCUCCUAGCUGCUGUGACAAGGCACGCGGGCUGCACGGCGGCAAGGUGUAUUGAAAACAUGCUACUUUGGAGGUGUGCAGAGAACAUUAAAUGAGAUCCUGAAAAAAAGUGAAAGCACUUUGUUCCGUUCAUCCCCCAUCACUCAUUGGUGACAAAUGACGAGGGAAUACUGUUAUAUGCGACUCAACUCUUUAUUGCACAUCGUCUGACUCAUUCCUCCGUUUUAUGAAUCCACUACUGAGUCCUCUUUAAUUCGCUCGUGGUAGAAACCCCUCCUGGAAAGGGGAGUUUACUGGUGCAGGUAAUGUGGAAGAGAGAAGCUAGGGAGGCCCGGCCUGGGAGCUGCAUCCCGGAGGGGCUUCCUCACUCUCCUGCCACCUUAGUUUUAAUUUCUAAAAGGGGUGUGGGCGCUGUUGGUAGGGGGUUAAAGCUGGGGCCUGCAGCACCUGCAUCCCAUAUGGGCGCAGGUUUGAGUCCUGGCUGCUCCACUUCUAAUCCAGCUCCCCGCUGAUGCGCCUGGGAAAGCAGUGGAAGAUGGCCCAGGUCCUUGGGCCCCUGCACCCACGUGGGAGACCUGGAAGAAGCUGCUGGCUCCUGGCUUUGGAUAGGUCCAGCUCCGGCCAUUGUGGCCAUUUGGGGAGUGAACCUGCUGAUGGAAGACCUCUUUCUCUACCCCUCUCUGUAACUCUGUCUUUCAAAUAAAUAAAAAAUAAAUAUUUUGUUUAAAA
Oryctolagus cuniculus (rabbit) is the source of this 1203-nucleotide non-coding RNA. The record is from RefSeq and is a predicted model, not a curated record. Lineage: Eukaryota; Metazoa; Chordata; Mammalia; Lagomorpha; Leporidae.